This is a long non-coding RNA of Drosophila ananassae, 820 nucleotides long. RefSeq lists it as uncharacterized. Lineage: Eukaryota; Metazoa; Arthropoda; Insecta; Diptera; Drosophilidae. The transcript is spliced from 3 exons. The record is from RefSeq and is a predicted model, not a curated record.
AAAUAAAAAUAAUUUUUAUUAAUUUAAUUUUUUAUUAAAUACAUUUGGACUCUCAGCCGAACUUGCAGGAAGAACCAAAUUGGUCUCUUAUUUUCUCCUAUUUUUUAUUUAUUUGUUUUAUAAAACACUUCUUAAACUUUCAAGCAACUUUUCUUAUUUUUAUUUCUCCUAUUUAUAUUUUAUUUUUAUUAAUAAAAACCUUGGGCUCUUACGGAAAGUCCCCUCCGUCUGGAAACACCAAAAUCCCCCACUUCGAAAGCCAUAUCUUGGAAAAAAGCUAUAAGAAACUAAACCAAUUAUAAUACCAGCAAAAUCCUGUAAAAGACUUUCACUCUAGAUGAAAAAGGAUAUAUCCUUUCUAGUAAUAUGCCCGCCCCUCAUCUUAUUAAUCGCUUCCCGAGGAAAACUGCAUUAGACGCCCAUUUGGUGGCCCGGGAAUGGCCACUCGGAAUAAGAAGUUGAAAAGGAGCUCCUCUUUCUAAUCCUUGCCACGCCCAGUGAGGCGAGCGGAAGGAUCUCCUCCUCGUGAAUGGAAAUGGAAAUCCUGUGAGAGCUGGCCGAAUGGGUUUCUACUAAAUUUUUAAGUGUAUCAGCGCCCACACAAUUACGCAGCCAGCUGGCCACGCCCCCGAUUUAGGGAGGUAGCCAGGGGGGUGUGGCUGGGAAGGAUGAAGUGAAGAAUGGCAGGAUAGCAGGAUUGCAGGAUUGCAUUAUGAAUAUGCAGAGAAAAUAGUCAGCCUGGAUGAUUAGGUUGACACGUUCCGGGGAACGAUCCUUUCGAGUUUCGAGUCCUUUGUGGCAACACUGAAAGAAAUUAGAG